This 618-nucleotide ribosomal RNA is filed under the name uncultured bacterium. RNAcentral's name for it is "bacterial SSU rRNA". The stretch from base 1 to 520 matches the Rfam family "Bacterial small subunit ribosomal RNA", at positions 338 to 873 of the family's 1533-position model. The record is from RNAcentral.
CCUACGGGAGGCAGCAGUGGGGAAUCUUGCGCAAUGGGCGAAAGCCUGACGCAGCCAUGCCGCGUGAAUGAUGAAGGUCUUAGGAUUGUAAAAUUCUUUCACCGAGGACGAUAAUGACGGUACUCGGAGAAGAAGCCCCGGCUAACUUCGUGCCAGCAGCCGCGGUAAUACGAAGGGGGCUAGCGUUGCUCGGAAUUACUGGGCGUAAAGGGAGCGUAGGCGGAUAGUUUAGUCAGAGGUGAAAGCCCAGGGCUCAACCUUGGAAUUGCCUUUGAUACUGGCUAUCUUGAGUACGGAAGAGGUAUGUGGAACUCCGAGUGUAGAGGUGAAAUUCGUAGAUAUUCGGAAGAACACCAGUGGCGAAGGCGACAUACUGGUCCGUUACUGACGCUGAGGCUCGAAAGCGUGGGGAGCAAACAGGAUUAGAUACCCUGGUAGUCCACGCUGUAAACGAUGAGUGCUAGUUGUCGGCAUGCAUGCAUGUCGGUGGACGCAGCUAACGCAUUAAGACACCUCCGCCGUCGGGGUAGGUACGGUCGGCGAAGAAGUUAAAACUUAAAAGUUAGUAAGUUAGACGGCGUGAGACGUGCCGACGGACGACCGACGAGGGAGGUUAGG